Molecule: ribosomal RNA, 498 nt
Filed under: uncultured bacterium
Lineage: Bacteria
Description: partial 16S ribosomal RNA
Rfam family: Bacterial small subunit ribosomal RNA
Source: RNAcentral
AUUGAACGCUGGCGGCAUGCCUUACACAUGCAAGUCGAACGGUAACAGGUCUUCGGAUGCUGACGAGUGGCGAACGGGUGAGUAAUACAUCGGAACGUGCCUAGUAGUGGGGGAUAACUACUCGAAAGAGUGGCUAAUACCGCAUGAGAUCUACGGAUGAAAGCAGGGGAUCGCAAGACCUUGUGCUACUAGAGCGGCCGAUGGCAGAUUAGGUAGUUGGUGGGAUAAAAGCUUACCAAGCCGACGAUCUGUAGCUGGUCUGAGAGGACGAUCAGCCACACUGGGACUGAGACACGGCCCAGACUCCCACGGGAGGCAGCAGGGGGGAAUUUUGGACAAUGGGCGAAAGCCUGAUCCAGCAAUGCCGCGUGCAGGAUGAAGCCCUUCGGUUUGUAACCUGCUUUUGUACGGAACGAAAACCCCCGGGUUAAUACCCUGGGGUCAUGACGGUACCGUAAGAAAAAGCACCGGCUAACUACGUGCCAGCCGCCGCCGUAA